AAAGAGAAGAAGGAGGAGAUAAAAAGAAAAUACAAAAAACCCUGAGCAUUUCUGCAGUCCAAAGAGGAUAUUCCUAUUAGCAUGUCAUGGAAUUUAAAUCUCUAAACAUUCUAGAAGGAAAAAAUACAACAGCCAUCAAAACCCUACAAUACUGAAGAAAAAAUAUAGAGCCACCAGAAGCAAGGUAUCCCACAUAUUAAUCUUGCAAUCUUGCAACUGUGCUGUUUCCACAGAAAGUAUGUUACAGCUUAAACUUCAGGAUCUCAAAGCAAUGAAUGGAAGUGAACAGAAGUGGCGCUGUGUUGAAGCAUCCUAUUCAAGACUGAUUACAG
This is a non-coding RNA of Coturnix japonica (Japanese quail), 332 nucleotides long. The record is from RefSeq and is a predicted model, not a curated record. NCBI's taxonomy places the organism in Eukaryota, Metazoa, Chordata, Aves, Galliformes, Phasianidae.